RNAcentral lists this ribosomal RNA (587 nucleotides) under Fusarium sp. NRRL 25085. RNAcentral describes it as "eukaryotic LSU rRNA". It matches the Rfam family "Eukaryotic large subunit ribosomal RNA", at positions 1 to 586 of the family's 3401-position model. The record is from RNAcentral. Lineage: Eukaryota; Fungi; Ascomycota; Sordariomycetes; Hypocreales; Nectriaceae.
AACUUCUGAAUGUUGACCUCGGAUCAGGUAGGAAUACCCGCUGAACUUAAGCAUAUCAAUAAGCGGAGGAAAAGAAACCAACAGGGAUUGCCCUAGUAACGGCGAGUGAAGCGGCAACAGCUCAAAUUUGAAAUCUGGCUCUCGGGCCCGAGUUGUAAUUUGUAGAGGAUGCUUUUGAUGCGGUGCCUUCCGAGUUCCCUGGAACGGGACGCCAUAGAGGGUGAGAGCCCCGUCUGGUUGGAUGCCAAAUCUCUGUAAAGCUCCUUCGACGAGUCGAGUAGUUUGGGAAUGCUGCUCUAAAUGGGAGGUAUAUGUCUUCUAAAGCUAAAUACCGGCCAGAGACCGAUAGCGCACAAGUAGAGUGAUCGAAAGAUGAAAAGCACUUUGAAAAGAGAGUUAAAAAGUACGUGAAAUUGUUGAAAGGGAAGCGUUUAUGACCAGACUUGGGCUUGGUUAAUCAUCUGGGGUUCUCUCCAGUGCACUUUUCCAGUCCAGGCCAGCAUCAGUUUUCGCCGGGGGAUAAAGGCUUCGGGAAUGUGGCUCUCUCCGGGGAGUGUUAUAGCCCGUUGCGUAAUACCCUGGCGGGG